Molecule: long non-coding RNA, 2136 nt
Organism: Cercocebus atys (sooty mangabey)
Lineage: Eukaryota; Metazoa; Chordata; Mammalia; Primates; Cercopithecidae
Exons: 3
Source: RefSeq, a predicted model, not a curated record
GAGCUGAGAUCACGCCACUGCACUCCAGCCUGAGUGACACAGUGAGACUCUGUCUCAAAAUAAAUAAAUAAAUCAUGGAAAUCAUUUUAUAUCAGUUCAUAUAGGUUUUCCUUAUUGUUUUAAGAAAGAUGCACAGUAUUGUAUUGCAAGGAUAUAUCAUUCAUGCAAUCAAUUUUCUAUAUACCAAUUUUUGAGUUGUUUCCAGUAUUUUGGCAAUUACAAAUAAUGUCUUAAUAAAUAACAUUGUAUAUAUUUAUUUUCAUAUUGUUGAAAGUAAACUUCAGGGUAAAUUCCCAGAAGUCGGAUUGCUGGGUCAAAGCAUAAAAUGUGUAUGAAGUUUUGUUAGAUAUUGCCAAAUUUCAAUCCACAGAGAUUGCAUCAUUUUGCACACUCAUCAUCUAUAUAUUAAGAGUGCUCAUUACCCUACAGAGUAUAUCAUUGUAUGUACUAAUUUUGACCACUUUGAUAGAUGUGAAAUGUUUUUCUCGUUUUCAUUUGGAUUUAAUUACAAAUGAGAUAGAAGUUUCUUUUCAUAAGUGUUAGGAACAUUUUGUAUCUUUUUAGGGGUAUAUUGUCUACAUCAUGUAUUUUGCCCAUUUAUCUAUAAGGUUUUGGUCCUUCUUUAAUCUUGAUGUUUACAAGUUCUUUACAGAUUAAUGAUUUUAGUUCUUUAUUUGCAAUAUGCGUUGAAAAUAUUUUCUCCCAGUUCAUCAUUUGUCUAUGUUUUUGUUUACAGAGUUUUGUGUCAUUCAAAAGUUCUUUAAAAUUUUUAAAAAUUUUUAUAGAGUUGAGUUCAUGAAUCUUUUAUUGUAUCUAGAUUUUUAGACAUAUUUUGAAAGCCUUUCAUCACCAGAUUUCAAAGGUGUUGGUAGAUAUCUAUUUUUAAACAUGGAAAGAUGGUGGUGCAAUGGCCAGAUACCACUGGGGAAUAUCCUUAUUCAACAUGUGAGAAUGACGUACAACUAGGAAGACAUGUACAGUUGAAAACAGGAUAUCCAGCACAUGAGAGAAAUAGAACCUGUGGAAUGAGAAUUGCGCCCAGGUACAGAGGUCAGUGGCAACAGGCUGAAUAUUUUUGGCCCCCAUCCCACAAAGAACCAUAUGUUGCAGACUAAAUCCCCAAUGUGGUGGUAUUGGAGGUGGGACCUUUGGGAGCUGAUUAGGUUCUGAGGGUGGAGCCCUCAUGAAUGGGAUUAGUAUUCUUCUAAGAGGAGAGGCAAAAGAGAUGAUCUCUCUCUCUCUCUCUCUCUCCCCCUCUACCAUGUGAGGACACAUGAAGACAGCCAUUUGCAAACCAAUAUGUAGGCCCUCACCAAGCACUAGAGCUGUUAGUGUCUUGACCUUGGAUUUCCCAGCCUUUAGAACUGUGAAAAGUAAAUUUGUGUUGUUUAAGCCACCCAGUCUAUGGUAUUCUGUUAUAGCAGCCUGAACUGACUAGGACAGCAGCCAUUCAAAUGGAAGCAGCCUGGCGCAAAAGACAGAUAGUUAAGAGCUGUCAUCACCAUGCCUGCUACUGUAGAACCAGCUUUUUAACCAGAUCAAACUCCUGGAGGAUGUACUCAACCAGAGCAAGGGCAUGUGCCAGGAAAGAGGGAGCCGUCAUAUCCAGGAAAUCAGAAUCCAGUCUUGGAAAAAGGCAAAGCAACUUCUAAGUACAGUAGAAAAGCAAAGGCCAGCAUGACAACCAAGUAGCAGCUCUAAGAGGGAAAACUGCCUAAAGAAGGAGAAAUGUCUAAAAAAAUUUACCUGAUGUAAAUUGUGGAACCCUGUACUGAGAGGUUGUUGGAAGUAGUAGGAAGAACUAGCAAAAAGCAAAGAGAAAAGUAAGAAAAUGAAAAAGCAAGGUCAUUUAUUAACUUCAGGAAAAACUAAAUGUAGAAGGAAAAUAAUCAUUGAUGCUUCCAUAUGAAUAAUAUUUGCAUAGCAUAUGAAUGAAAAUGCUGAAUAUAGAUUUAACCAAAAUUGUAAUCUAAUCACAUUGGGACGAUAGAAGAGGAGAAAGGGGGAUGGCAGCAUAAGAGAGCCUAUCCUUUUUGCCAUAAUAGGAAAUAUAUAAAUGAUGUUUAAAAUUGAUUAAUAGGGCUGGGCAUGAUGGCUCAUGCCUGUAAUUCCAGCAUUUUGGGAGGCCGAGGCGGG